AUUGAACGCUGGCGGCAUGCCUUACACAUGCAAGUCGAACGGUAACGGGCCUUCGGGUGCCGACGAGUGGCGAACGGGUGAGUAAUGCAUCGGAACGUGCCUUUCAGUGGGGGAUAACGUAGCGAAAGUUACGCUAAUACCGCAUAUUCUGUGAGCAGGAAAGCAGGGGAUCGCAAGACCUUGCGCUGAUUGAGCGGCCGAUGUCAGAUUAGCUAGUUGGUGAGGUAAAGGCUCACCAAGGCGACGAUCUGUAGCGGGUCUGAGAGGAUGAUCCGCCACACUGGAACUGAGACACGGUCCAGACUCCUACGGGAGGCAGCAGUGGGGAAUUUUGGACAAUGGGCGCAAGCCUGAUCCAGCCAUGCCGCGUGAGUGAAGAAGGCCU
RNAcentral lists this ribosomal RNA (385 nucleotides) under uncultured bacterium. RNAcentral's name for it is "bacterial SSU rRNA". It matches the Rfam family "Bacterial small subunit ribosomal RNA", at positions 30 to 417 of the family's 1533-position model. The record is from RNAcentral.